GGAGAGGUGGCAGAGUGGUCGAAUGCGGCGGUCUCGAAAACCGUUUCCGCGGGUUUCCGUGGACCUGGGUUCGAAUCCCAGCCUCUCCGCCA
RNAcentral lists this transfer RNA (92 nucleotides) under Candidatus Omnitrophota bacterium. RNAcentral describes it as "Candidatus Omnitrophica bacterium (sediment metagenome) tRNA-Ser". It matches the Rfam family "tRNA". Rfam says of the family: Transfer RNA (tRNA) molecules are approximately 80 nucleotides in length. Their secondary structure includes four short double-helical elements and three loops (D, anti-codon, and T loops). Lineage: Bacteria; Pseudomonadati; Candidatus Omnitrophota. The record is from RNAcentral.